CCGGGCUCUGCGUUCUCCCAUCCCCCUUCUCUGCUUUCAUACCGCAUUAAGCCUGGCAGCAAUCCACCAUCUCCUGAAAGCUAAUGGGGUACAACAGAAAGCCCCAUAGUUGCUAUUUAGCAUGCUGGCAAUUGUCCAAACACGUUUCUGUAUCUGAUCUGCUAUAAAGUCGGGAGACAUGAUAAUGUUUUUUAUCUACAGCUGUAUGACUUACGUGAUUUUCCUUGGCCUCGGUAAUCGCUCUUUCCUCUCUGUUUUACCUGUACAGGUUAUGCUCUGCUCUUCUACAAAGCAAGCUCAAUAAAUGUCUGCUUGGAAACCGAGGGUCUCUGUAACCGUGGUUUCGCCUGUCCAAGCAACUCUGCAAUAACAAAAGAUGUGAAUGUUAAAUUACAACUUUCAGGGGUCUAAAAUCCCAAUUGCUGGCACCCGGACUUUUAAACAUCUCUGGUUUUUGUGCUGGUGGAUACGAUAACAUUGAGUCUUCUGUGACUGUCCCGACGUAUCAAAAUGAACUGCAGAGUAGGACGGCGGGGUCUGUCAGGGAGAUGCACAGGUACAGCCACGUGGGACGGUCACCACUAACAUCAGCUGGAUGCUUGUGCAGUGGGACCUCGGUUCUGUGGCAGAACGAUCUCAUCGGGACAGCGUGAGAGGAUGCCUGGCCUGUACCAAAGAGAUUCAUUCUUGGAAGCACUUUUAACCUGCAGUCAGCUGUGGACAGCCUCCAGGUGCAGCCCCAGCAAUCCCCAGGGAGCUUGCACGGUGCCGGCAGCAGCAGGG
Molecule: long non-coding RNA, 783 nt
Filed under: Anser brachyrhynchus (Pink-footed goose)
Lineage: Eukaryota; Metazoa; Chordata; Aves; Anseriformes; Anatidae
Description: lncRNA (ENSABRG00000020872.1)
Source: RNAcentral